Molecule: ribosomal RNA, 216 nt
Filed under: Glomeromycotina sp.
Lineage: Eukaryota; Fungi; Glomeromycota
Description: partial small subunit ribosomal RNA
Rfam family: Eukaryotic small subunit ribosomal RNA (bases 75-216)
Source: RNAcentral
GGGUCAGUAGGUUGGUCGUGCCACCGGUACGUACUGGUCUCACUGAUUCCUCCUUCCCGAAGAACCGUAAUGCCAUUAAUUUGGUGUUGCGGGGAAACAGGACUGUUACUUUGAAAAAAUUAGAGUGUUUAAGGCAAGCUAACGCUUGAAUACAUUAGCAUGGAAUAAUGAAAUAGGACGAUCGAUCCUAUUUUGUUGGUUUCUAGGAUUGACGUA